ACCCGCACAAGCAGCGGAGCGUGUUGGUUUAAUUCGAUGCUACACGAAGAACCUUACCAGGGUUUGACAUGUAAGUGGUAGUGAUCUGAAAAGUGAACGACCCCUCGGGGAGCUUACACAGGUGCUGCAUGGCUGUCGUCAGCUCGUGUCGUGAGAUGUUCGGUUAAGUCCGCUAACGAGCGCAACCCUCACUGUGUGUUAUACGUGUCACACGGGACUGCCGGUUUUAAGCCGGAGGAAGGCGAGGAUGACGUCAAGUCAGCAUGGCCUUUAUAUCCUGGGCUACACACACGCUACAAUGGUCUGGACAACAGGUUGCCAAACCGCAAGGUGGCGCCAAUCCAUAAAGUUGGUCUCAGUUCAGAUUGUAGGCUGCAACCCGCCUGCAUGAAGAUGGAGUUGCUAGUAACCGCAGGUCAGCUAUACUGCGGUGAAUACGUUCCCGGGGCUU
RNAcentral lists this ribosomal RNA (451 nucleotides) under uncultured Anaerolineaceae bacterium. Its description in RNAcentral is "bacterial SSU rRNA". It matches the Rfam family "Bacterial small subunit ribosomal RNA", at positions 919 to 1382 of the family's 1533-position model. Lineage: Bacteria; Bacillati; Chloroflexota; Anaerolineae; Anaerolineales; Anaerolineaceae. The record is from RNAcentral.